CAGCAUUCCCGGUUGCUCGGUGGCCAUCCUGAAACCUUGUAACCCAGGAGGCCCGAGGUAGCCAAAUUCCUCCUGUCCGGCACCCUCACCCUCUUUUGCAAAGAAGGAACGUUCCAUUGCUGGGGACUGAAUGUUGGGAGCAACACGAAACUCGGAAGAGCACCAGGGUUUGCAGAAGCCAAGCGGUUCUGAGCCCGGGAGCCACAGAGGUCAAGUCCAGUCCAGUGUUCGCUGGGCAGCCCUUGGGCUGUGUGAUGAGUUAGGACACCCUGCCCACCUGACUUUUCAAGUUCAGGACUUUUCUAGGGGAUUAGAAGGCAGGGUACUCCCCUCAUCUACUUCUAUUACGCUUCUCCUGCUCGAUGGAUGGAACCACCAGAUCCCCACACUGUGCAGGCAAAGCCAGUCCCAGCCAUGAAACGUGACACCUGUGAAGAUUCUGACUGGAGGACUGUUACCCAUUAACCCAGGCCCUUUCAAUACAAUCAGGAGGUGAAUCAAAAAAGAUAUUGUGGGACUUCCCUCGUGGUGCAGUGGUUAAGAAUCUGCCUGCCAAUGCAGGGGACACGGGUUUGAGCCCUGGUCCGGGAAGAUCCCACAUGCUGCGGAGCAACUAAGCCCGUGAGCCACAACUACUGAGCCUGAGCUCUAGAGCCCGCAAGCCACAGCUACUGAGCCCGCGAGCCACAACUACUGAAGCCUGCACACCCUAGAGCCUGUGCUCUGCAACAAGAGAAGCCACUGCAAUGAGAAGCCCAUGCACUGCAAAUAAAGAGUAGCCCCCACUCGCCACAACUAGAGAUAGCCUGCGCGUAGCAACAAAGACCCAACACAGCCAAAAAUAAAUAAAUUAAUUAAUUAAAAAAAAGAUAUUGCUGAGAUUUAUGUCAGAGAGUGUUCUGCCUAUGUUUUCCUCUAAGAGUUUUAUAGUAUCCAGCCUUACAUUUAGGUCUUUAACCCAUUUUGAGUUUAUU
Orcinus orca (killer whale) is the source of this 974-nucleotide long non-coding RNA. RefSeq lists it as uncharacterized. The record is from RefSeq and is a predicted model, not a curated record. The transcript is spliced from 4 exons. NCBI's taxonomy places the organism in Eukaryota, Metazoa, Chordata, Mammalia, Artiodactyla, Delphinidae.